UUUAGUGCACCCUCACGGUGCCUCCACAACGAUUUUAGGUUGUGGACGCCCGUCAGAUCAGGUUCAUUUGGUGCAUCUCGGCCGUCCGUUUUUUCACCGCAUCGUAUAAAAGAGCUAGCGCGGUGAAAACCUUAGCCGCAAUCACGUCCCUUCCUUUCUCCUCUUAUUCGCUUGCUCCUCCUAUAACUGGAGAUUGAGCAAGACAAGUAUCAAGAUUCUAUUCUAUCUCCAUUUUAUGAUCUUCUCUAUCCAUCUUCUGGUCUUCUUUUGUAGAGAUCGAGCCAGUCUUAGAAUAUGUCAUCUUCAAGUUAGGGGGCAUUCUUGAGAGUAAUUAUAGGAGGCUGCAAAGUCUGUUGGGAAAGGAGUAGCUGAACUGAUAUAGGGUAUAUACAUUCAGUAGCUACAAUAAUAUCUCUGAAGCAGAUGGAAAUCCCAGAUUGAACAUGGGAGAAGGAUCCAUAGAUGGAAAUCCAAACCGAACAUGGGAGAAGGGUCCCGAUGGCAUUUCUCUGGCAAAUUUCAUCAACUUGAUUUUACCAAACAACAUCACAAUUAUUUCUUUUGUUGAUAGCCCAACAAAUAUAGAUGUUGCUUUUGUUGUUCCUUCCUUCUGUUGCUCUUGACAUGUCCAUCUGAGUGUUUCAUACUAUAAUAUAUUCUUCUGUUUUCCUGGUUGUACAUAAAUAUUUUAUACUCCGUUUGUAAUUUCAUGUGCUUUAUCUUAAGAUCAA
Molecule: long non-coding RNA, 731 nt
Organism: Lolium rigidum
Lineage: Eukaryota; Viridiplantae; Streptophyta; Magnoliopsida; Poales; Poaceae
Exons: 2
Source: RefSeq, a predicted model, not a curated record